Molecule: small nuclear RNA, 20 nt
Filed under: Arabidopsis thaliana (thale cress)
Lineage: Eukaryota; Viridiplantae; Streptophyta; Magnoliopsida; Brassicales; Brassicaceae
Description: snRNA_05449
Source: RNAcentral
AUCCUAGUACUACUCUCACC